UACAGAGGGGGCAAGCGUUAUUCGGAAUUAUUGGGCGUAAAGGGCGCGUAGGCGGCCUGGCAAGUGGAAGGUGAAAUCCCUCGGCUUAACCGAGGAACUGCCCUCCAAACUGCUUGGCUUGAGUCCGGGAGAGGUGAGUGGAAUUCCCAGUGUAGCGGUGAAAUGCGUAGAUAUUGGGAGGAACACCAGUGGCGAAGGCGGCUCACUGGAGCGGAACUGACGCUGAGGCGCGAAAGCGUGGGGAGCAAACGGG
RNAcentral lists this ribosomal RNA (253 nucleotides) under uncultured bacterium. RNAcentral's name for it is "partial 16S ribosomal RNA". It matches the Rfam family "Bacterial small subunit ribosomal RNA", at positions 524 to 776 of the family's 1533-position model. The record is from RNAcentral.